This is a non-coding RNA of Zootermopsis nevadensis, 2966 nucleotides long. The record is from RefSeq and is a predicted model, not a curated record. Lineage: Eukaryota; Metazoa; Arthropoda; Insecta; Blattodea; Termopsidae.
UCUUAUAUGCACCAUGGCUUAUCCGAGUGCUUUAGUGCACGGCCAAGCGCGUCGCUAGCUGACAAUGGAGGUGUUGGAGUACAGAGGCCAAACAUGUAGCGGAGCGUAUACUGGCUUGUAUUCUGCUGAAUGCAGGAAGUGUUUACCCGUUCAAUUUGGCUCUCAAAAUGUCUGUGUUAAAGUGAAUGCUUUUGACUGAGAAUCGUAUUUAAAAUUUAGCUUAGUAAACAGUAGAAGUCGCCAGUGGGUUCACGAAACAAACAACACAAAAAGACAUACAUGUGAAUUUCAUCAUCUUUAUAGCAAGGAUAUGCUCAAAGAUUUUUUUGUGUAACAAGGAUUUCAACAAAUAGUUCAGAUUUUUUGUUGUCAAAACUUGAACAACGUCUAACCAAGGAAACUACAACCUACAGAAAACCUAUGCUACCAACAGAACGGGUCAUAACAUUAAGGUGGCUAAUGUGUGUGUACCGAAGUUGACAAUGGGAACAGUCCUGUCGUAGUCGUCAGCUGCACGCCAGAGGCUGUUGGGACUUGGUUCAGCUCCAUUGUUUAUCUUCGUAACUGCUUUCUUCAGAGGUUACACCUACAAACAUUAAUUUAGGAUGAACAGGGGCAAUCUUGGGCGAGGGAGGGGCGUGUCUCUGGACCAGGAGGAACACAAGUGCGUGUGUACACGCCCCGACACCAAUGUGCUAUGCAAUGUUUGUGGUUACAUUACGAAGGGGAGGAUUCGGAAAACAUGCCCUAAACACAAGUUGACUCUGUAUCUGAUGGAUAUACAGCAGUGUCCACGUUGCAAGGCGUACAGCUUCAUGAUGCAGGAAUUUACUACGACCAGCAUCAAGUGAGGACACAGGUUCUUCUUGUACUGCAUGUUGCUGGCACCCAUCUGCUUGUCACGUUUAUUCUAUUUGGUUUCUUCGUGGUACGUAGUUAUAUUCUGCAAUUAUCUCUUUUUCUGGUUUGUUACAUUGCUCAAGGAUAAUAUUUUAUUGUGUAAAUAUUUUGUAUUUGGAGAAUAUUGUAUAUAGAAAGUGCUCUCUUUUACUACUGUUGACUGUGUUGUUGGUUUAAAGUAUUUUUAAGUAGUGUCUGGCUUUAUUGGUGAAAAUUUGGUAUUUUGCUGAACAGCUGAAGACCUGGAAACAACAGUCAGUUAACCCAUACUUCUUUGAAACUGAAAAACAUUGAGGUAAAUUAUAAUAUUAAUAAUACAGACGUUGUUAUUAAACCAAAGGAACAUUAAAGCUAGAGUUUUACAGGACGGUGAAUACGGGGGUAUUCAGUGUAUACAAAAUUACGAUUUGUUCGGGUUUUCAUGUUCAUGAUGUGAUGAAGUCGAGGUAUUUUCAGCUGGUUAGGUUAAGUAAAAAUGUUGUUCACGUUUUUGUAUUUACCUCAGUUUAUUAACAAAGAAAAAUGUAAUUUAAACAUUUAUUAGUUUAAUUGGAAAGAAAACACACCUUAGUCAACAUAGUGUGUGUGGAAGACUGAUAAUGUUCUUGAUUGACGUCAGGUCACAAUACCUGGACUUCUGUCGUUGCUUUGUUAGAUUUUCACACCUGAAAAAUUAAUAUACUCACCUUCAGAAAUACUCUUGUAUUUCUCGAGUUUUGUUUCAUCAGAGUUUCUGUACACUCUUUAAAUAUUCUUUCAGACUGAUUUGUAGUAAAUUACUCCACUUGCUUUGUGUGUAGACUUUAUGUUGUUGUAUUAUGUCUGCUUCAGUUAUGAGCCGGGAUAGCUCAGUCAGUAUAGUGACUAGCUACGGGCUGGACGACAGGGGUUCGAUCCCCGACGGGGGCAGAGGAUUUUUCCCUCUAGCCUCUGCGUCCAGACCGGCUCUGGGGCCCACCCAGCCUCCUCUACAAUGGGUACCGGGGUCCUUUCCCGGGGGUAAAGCAACAUUCUGAAUAUUGCACAAAAUACAUAUUUUGUGUGGUAAAUCAUCCGUAAAUUUCUGCAUGCCUUUUUUUGAAGUCACACGUGUUCCCGAGGCAUCAUUCGUUAUGUGGAUCCCAAGGUUUAAACACCCAAAGCUGAUGCUUAAAGCAAACUAUGCUAAUCCUUACGAGUGGUACGGGUAGAGCUUGUUGUAAAUCGGAACAUAAGUGUCUCUUUUGGGCUCUCCAAAAGAUGGGUUGAAGGAUACAUACCUGUAGAAAUUCUGUGGUGUAAGUUUUCUUUAUUUUUCCAACUCUUUGAUUGUUUAAAUUUCACGUAGUCACAAUUAUAUUGAGCUGUGAAGUUAAAAUGACUUUAUUCAAGAGUAAUGUCUUGCUUCGACACCUUCUUAAUAUGUUUGUUGUGAUAUUUAAUUUAAUUUGUAAAGUUUGAUGGUGGGCUUAUUCAUAUCUGAAUUGGAUGUUUUCUUAUUUUAGUUCAGAGUAUGUCUGAGAUUGCCAUUGGAAUCCCAAGAAUAGAUAUAAACGCGCUUUUCCAAAUCAUCUUACAUAUUUCUAGUAUAUUCACGUGUUCAUUAUCGUGAUAUUAUGAUUCUUUGGCAGCAGCCAUUUUAUAGCAUGAAUUGGUUUGCAAAUGGUUGCACGGUGGAGAAUGUUGAUUUUAUUUAAAAUAUUCCGUAUGCCACAAAUCAAAAGCUAAAAACGUGACCCACCUAUUAUACAAAGAUAGGACAAUAGUGAGGCUGCAUUUCAUUCGUGAAUCCAGACUUUCGAGCAUUGUGAUUUACAAUGCAAUUACUCCGAGGCCUUCGGUUCAUUGUUCUGAACUACUUGCUAAAAUUUGUUAUUUGGUGAUUAUACUUGGGAAACAUCUAACUUGAAGUAAAUUGUUACAACUUUUACUCAUAAGAUUUGAAUCUGAACAUUGCGCAUGUCACAUUAUUAGCUAUGUUUAGAUUAUGCCUGUUAAAUAUGUCUUCACCUGAAAAAUUUCAGACCUGAGAAAAGUUUUAAUUUUUUUUUUUUUUUUGCAUAAUUGUUUGGAGUAUAAUGUGAAUC